RNAcentral lists this non-coding RNA (828 nucleotides) under Heliosciurus ruwenzorii (Ruwenzori sun squirrel). Lineage: Eukaryota; Metazoa; Chordata; Mammalia; Rodentia; Sciuridae. The record is from RNAcentral.
GCCUUUCCAUUGGCCUAUAGUAAACUUAUACAUGCAAGCAUCCCCGCCCCAGUGAGAAUGCCCUCUAUGUCUAAAACAAGACCUAAAGGUGCUGGCAUCAAGCACACUAACCACAUGUAGCUCAUGACGCCUUGCUUAGCCACACCCCCACGGGAUACAGCAGUAAUUAAAAUUAAGCCUAUAAACGAAAGUUUGACUAAGUUAUACUAUUCACCCAGGGUUGGUAAAUUUCGUGCCAGCCACCGCGGUCACACGAUUAACCCUAGUCAAUGGAUCACGGCGUAAAAUGUGAUUAUGAGUAAAUACACAAAUAAGACUAAGCUCAGGCUAAGCCGUAGAAAGCCCUAGCCCAACUAAAAAUAACCCGCGAAAGCAGUCUUAAAUAAUUCUGAACUCACGAUAGCUAAGACCCAAACUGGGAUUAGAUACCCCACUAUGCUUAGCCCUAAACAUAAAUAUUCAAUAAACAAGAAUAUUCGCCAGAGUACUACUAGCAACUGCCUAAAACUCAAAGGACUUGGCGGUACCUUACAUCCCUCUAGAGGAGCCUGUUCUAUAAUCGAUAAACCCCGAUCUACCUCACCACCUUUAGCACAAUCGCAGCCUAUAUACCGCCAUCUUUAGCAAACCCUAACAAGGCCGCAUAGUAAGCACAAGAAUUAUAAAUUAAAACGUUAGGUCAAGGUGUAGCCUAUGAGGUGGGAAGUAAUGGGCUACAUUUCCUAUUUUCUAGGACACCCUACGACAGCUUUUAUGAAAAUUAAAAGUCCAAGGCGGAUUUAGUAGUAAGCCAGAAAUAGAGCGUCUGACUGAAUCGGGUAAUAAGGC